RNAcentral lists this ribosomal RNA (440 nucleotides) under uncultured bacterium. RNAcentral describes it as "partial 16S ribosomal RNA". It matches the Rfam family "Bacterial small subunit ribosomal RNA", at positions 338 to 795 of the family's 1533-position model. The record is from RNAcentral.
CCUACGGGUGGCAGCAGUGGGGAAUAUUGCACAAUGGGGGAAACCCUGAUGCAGCGACGCCGCGUGAGUGAAGAAGUAAUUCGUUAUGUAAAGCUCUAUCAGCAGGGAAGAAAAUGACGGUACCUGAGUAAGAAGCCCCGCCUAACUACGUCCCAGCGCCGGCGUGAAUCCGUAGGGGGCAAGCUUUACCCGGAUUUACUGGGUGUAAGGGGAGCGUAGACGGCAGUGCAAGUCUGGAGUGAAAGGCGGGGGCUCAACCCCCGGACUGCUCUGGAAACUGUACGGCUGGAGUGCAGGAGAGGUAAGUGGAAUUCCUAGUGUAGCGGUGAAAUGCGUAGAUAUUAGGAGGAACACCAGUGGCGAAGGCGGCUUACUGGACUGUAACUGACGUUGAGGCUCGAAAGCGUGGGGAGCAAACAGGAUUAGAUACCCGAGUAGUC